UUAUUAAUAUUAUUUUUGUUGUGUUCUUAUUAUUGUUAUCAUUAUAAUAGCGUAUAGAGAUAAAAAAUCAUUCAUCUGUGCGAGUUCAGAAAAAAGAGCUCUUUAAGAGCUCGUUUUGAUGAGUUCUUAAAGUCUACAAUAAGCGGCGCAUUCGACCUCUUCAGAAGGUCUUAAAGACGUUUUUUAGACGUAGACUCUGACGUCCAAAUCAGAAAUCUGAGCUCAUUCGGAAUAACUUAAUACGUCAUUUUGCUAUCUGGGUAUAAGGUUUAACUUUUAUUAAGAUCGGCU
Molecule: long non-coding RNA, 291 nt
Organism: Cotesia glomerata
Lineage: Eukaryota; Metazoa; Arthropoda; Insecta; Hymenoptera; Braconidae
Exons: 4
Source: RefSeq, a predicted model, not a curated record